Molecule: ribosomal RNA, 243 nt
Filed under: uncultured bacterium
Lineage: Bacteria
Description: partial 16S ribosomal RNA
Rfam family: Bacterial small subunit ribosomal RNA
Source: RNAcentral
GAUGAACGCUGGCGGCGUGCCUAAUACAUGCAAGUCGAACGCAUUCCGUUAAAUGAAGUGCUUGCACGGAUUUUAACAUUGGAUGAGUGGCGAACUGGUGAGUAACACGGUGGGUAACCUGCCCAGAAGCAGGGGAUAACACUUGGAAACAGGUGCUAAUACCGUAUAACAACAAAAACCGCAUGGUUUUUGUUUGAAAGGUGGUUUCGGCUAUCACUUCUGGAUGGACCCGCGGCGUAUUAG